UGAAACGUGUAUAAAUUCAGUUAAAGGAAAAGAUAUUUCCUGGCACUAAGCCAUGGUGCAUUUCCCGCUUUAUUUUGGUUCGAAAUUAAACCACCGCAUUUACUUGGCACUUCUAAAAACAUAGCACAUUUACCCCGGUUUAUCCUGGAUCUGUUUGGGACAUGGUCACAAUUGACUGUUGCAUUUUGCAUGCCAUGGUGUACUACAUCUGUUACGACAUAAAUUGUUAUAGGUAAAUGGCCAUAUUUGGAAGUAAAAACAUGAUUAUUCAAUUCUAAAGAAUGUAAUUAGGGUUGUAGGAUAUGCUAACAGGGGCCAAAUUGCUGACAGUCCUUACUUUUGUUAUUCAGCUGGAUCCAUCGAGCAUUCAUUUUUUUGGAGGGAGCAUUCUUGUGACUCAAACCCAAUUUCCUACGAUGGAGUUCCUUUGAUAAUUGUUGGGAAGCAGCGACGUAAAUGUUUUCAUGGGCCGGAUAGAAAUCGGGGUAAAAAGAAAAAGAUGGAAGACAGAAAAAAGGUUGAUCAUCCUUAAGAAGAAAAGGGAAGGAAGCUUGUCCAGCCUACCCACAAACGGAAUUGCCCUGCGUUCAUCAUGCUGCGAUAUAUCGUCAGGUUUCCGGAGUAUAAGAUACACUCUGAUUCCAAUUACCAAUGUAGAACACAAAUUGAUCGGCUGAAAAGUGACCUACAGAACAAAGUCAUGCCUGUGUUGGAACAUCGGGUGUAUUGCUUUACCCCAGAAAGUGCUGAACACAAAUACCAUGUGAGAGGAGAGUUUGGAUCGACAUUUCAGCCAUUGGACAAAGUCAUCAUCAACAGAAUCAAAGCUCUUGUUGCAGAAGGAAUCUACUAUUGUAGUCUUCAAUCAUACAAUUCAAAAUGAGGAGGAUUGCCAACUCUCAGUCAGAGGAAGAGUUCAAUGUAGCUGUUGAAACCCUCAAGGACUCUGUAGAUUGGAAAGAAAAUCACAAGUUCCACACAUGGUUUCAGAGACACUGUUAAUCUGUGGCAGAGAGAUGGGUACAAUACCACCGUCAGACAUAUUUGAUUGUGCGGGUGAACACUACAAAUGGCCUGGAAAGGCAGCACAAGGAGUUUAAAGAGAACUACUUGGCCAACUAUACGAUGGGGUCAUUGAGCAGUAUGGUCACUACUUUGGUAAAAAAGUUCCUUCCAGAGCACUACAUUAGGUAUGUUCAAUACAACAUCAAAAGCAUACACAAGAAAUAUGCCAGUGAAGUUCCCAGAUUUCUGCACUGCAAACCCAAAGUGUUUGUUGACCACUGUCUUGGACGACUGCUUACACCAGGCCAUCCAACUUCCAUAAGUGCAGAGGAAGUAGGACCAAGAAAGUUAAAGGUCACCAGCUAUGAUUCUGACAGUGUUUAUACUGUUGACUUGGGACAAGCUCUGCCUUGCUGCAGCUGUAAAGACUGGCUAAAUACACACUGGCCUUGCAAGCAUAUGUUGCAUGUCAUGAUAAACAUUCCUGGCAACAGUUGGCACACACUGUCAGAGGAUUUUAUUAAUUCCCCACAUUUGUGUUGUGACAGUGAUAUGUUUGUUGAAGGUCAAGUUCAUGACCAUGCCUCUGGUGACUCACCUGCAUCUGCAUUUGCAAAUGUUUCUGCAAAGAGGAAGGCAACUCUGAGCAUGUGCAGUGGUGGCAUAAUUAACAAAAAACCUGUGGCCAUAGCAUCCACAUGUAAAACUUUGGCUGCCUCUAUUAGAAAUAUGAUGUUUUUGGUACGGGACGCAGCUGACUAUGAAGACAUCUAUGUUGAUCUCCUAUUGGUUCAUAGGAACCUGGCAUCUCGAAUCCCGGCCCAGUCUGGUCUUUUUCUUCGGCCCACCAUAAGAGGGAGGAGACCCUCAGUGUUGUUGAAUGGCUCUCUCAAGAUGCGUAAGAAACAAAGUUGGAAAAGAAAACAAGUACUGAAGACUGCUGCCAGGGUUAAACAUCAUGUAUCUUCUAGUUUAAAGGUUAUCCCUCAGGAUAGUGUGCUGACCAUGUCUUUUAACAAAACAGACGCUGAUGACCUGUUAAAGUCUGGCCAACAAUUGAUGCCAGGAGUGGGACAGCAGGCAAAGAUUCCAUGUGAUGAUUGUGGUAGGUCCUAUCAUUUCACCAAUUACUGUGUUGAAGCAGAUUUUGAGAGACUGGGAGAUGGGGAGAGAUUUCGCUGCACUCUAUGCAGAAUGAACUACUGGCCCCGGGUACUAAGGCAACAACAGAGGGCUACCAACACAAACCAAUCCAACUUUCAAGAUUAUGAAUCCCUGGUAGACCAAGGGACGGCAGCAGAAGCACAGACAACAAAAGGCCAAAAGGUGCUGGCAGGACAUUUACCCGAAGGCCAAAAGGUGCUGGCAGGACAUUUACCCGAAGGCCAAAAGGUGCUGGCAGGACAUUUACCCGAAGGCCAAAAGAUGCUGGCAGGACAUUUGCCCGAGAGCCAAAAGGUGCUGGCAGGACAUUUGCCCGAAGGCCAAAAGGUGCAGUCAACACCACAUUAUUGAUGGCAUUGCAAACAAGGAGUUUGCAAACUUGUUUAAUGAAGAGUUUGGAUUGGCAGAGUGUUACCUGUCAAAAGUGUUGCAGAAGGAAGCAAUGAUUGUCAUUCUGCAAAUUCACUCUGCUGUCGGUUAUCAGGAGGUGGAUUCAUUACUGAAGGAGGCAGAGAGUACCAGUGACAGGGCAAUGUUGGCUGGGUUAUUGUAAAUGAGGCCAUGGAGUGUGAUGGCAAUACUUAGUAUUUUAUCACAAUCUUAAGUGAUUAUAUUGUUGAUAACAGACAGCCAUUAAGAUGUAAUUCAUUGUAAUUGUGCACAACUAUGUACCAAGUAUUUUAUAUCAGGAUAUACACCGGGGAAAUACCGGAUUAAAUUUUAGCAUUUGAACACAUGUUUCAUAGCGAAACUUAUCAGUUAUAUCGCAUUUUCUGUUUUGUCAUUGUACAGUUGAUGAGACCAUAAGUAAUAAAAUACACUGUUAAAUUUCACACUGAAAGUAAGGUAUGAAUGUGUCUAUUAAUGUGUCACCAAUACAACUUGCUUUGUAGACAUCCACAUCACCUUUGAUAGUUUGU
This is an RNA transcript of Mya arenaria, 3089 nucleotides long. RefSeq lists it as uncharacterized. The record is from RefSeq and is a predicted model, not a curated record. The transcript has 14 exons. NCBI's taxonomy places the organism in Eukaryota, Metazoa, Mollusca, Bivalvia, Myida, Myidae.